AGAACGAACGCUGGCGGCAGGCCUCAAACAUGCAAGUCUAGGGGGUGUAGCAAUACAUCACCGGCGGACGGGUGCGUAACACGUGGGAAUAUACCUUUUGGUUCGGAACAACGCAGGGAAACUUGCGCUAAUACCGAAUGUGCCCUUACGGGGAAAGAUUUAUCGCCAAAGGAUUAGCCCGCGUAGGAUUAGCUAGUUGGUGAGGUAAUGGCUCACCAAGGCUCCGAUCCUUAGCUGUUCUGAGAGGAAGAUCAGCCACACUGGGACUGAGACACGGCCCAGACUCCUACGGGAGGCAGCAGUUGGGAAUCUUGGACAAUGGGGGAAACCCUGAUCCAGCCAUGCCGCGUGAGUGAUGAAGGCCUUCGGGUUGUAAAACUCUUUCGACGGGGACAUAAUGACGGUACCCGUAGAAGAAGCUCCGGCUAACUUCGCGCCAGCAGCCGC
Molecule: ribosomal RNA, 447 nt
Filed under: uncultured bacterium
Lineage: Bacteria
Description: SSU rRNA
Rfam family: Bacterial small subunit ribosomal RNA
Source: RNAcentral